Molecule: ribosomal RNA, 646 nt
Filed under: uncultured Acidovorax sp.
Lineage: Bacteria; Pseudomonadati; Pseudomonadota; Betaproteobacteria; Burkholderiales; Comamonadaceae
Description: bacterial SSU rRNA
Rfam family: Bacterial small subunit ribosomal RNA
Source: RNAcentral
UGCAAGUCGAACGGUAACAGGUCUUCGGAUGCUGACGAGUGGCGAACGGGUGAGUAAUACAUCGGAACGUGCCCGAUCGUGGGGGAUAACGAAGCGAAAGCUUUGCUAAUACCGCAUACGAUCUACGGAUGAAAGCAGGGGACCGCAAGGCCUUGCGCGAACGGAGCGGCCGAUGGCAGAUUAGGUAGUUGGUGGGGUAAAGGCUUACCAAGCCUACGAUCUGUAGCUGGUCUGAGAGGACGACCAGCCACACUGGGACUGAGACACGGCCCAGACUCCUACGGGAGGCAGCAGUGGGGAAUUUUGGACAAUGGGCGCAAGCCUGAUCCAGCAAUGCCGCGUGCAGGAUGAAGGCCUUCGGGUUGUAAACUGCUUUUGUACGGAACGAAAAGGCUCUGGUUAAUACCUGGGGCUCAUGACGGUACCGUAAGAAUAAGCACCGGCUAACUACGUGCCAGCAGCCGCGGUAAUACGUAGGGUGCGAGCGUUAAUCGGAAUUACUGGGCGUAAAGCGUGCGCAGGCGGUUAUGUAAGACAGAGGUGAAAUCCCCGGGCUCAACCUGGGAACUGCCUUUGUGACUGCAUAGCUAGAGUACGGCAGAGGGGGAUGGAAUUCCGCGUGUAGCAGUGAAAUGCGUAGAUAUGC